This 305-nucleotide ribosomal RNA is filed under the name uncultured bacterium. Its description in RNAcentral is "bacterial SSU rRNA". It matches the Rfam family "Bacterial small subunit ribosomal RNA", at positions 334 to 656 of the family's 1533-position model. The record is from RNAcentral.
CAUUCCUACGGGGGGCAGCAGUGGGGAAUAUUGCACAAUGGGGGAAACCCUGAUGCAGCGACGCCGCGUGAGUGAAGAAGUAAUUCGUUAUGUAAAGCUCUAUCAGCAGGGAAGAAAAUGACGGUACCUGAGUAAGAAGCCACGGCUAACUACGUGCCAGCAGCCGCGGUAAUACGUAGGUGGCAAGCGUUGUCCGGAUUUACUGGGUGUAAAGGGCGUGUAGCCGGGCCGGCAAGUCAGAUGUGAAAUCCCAAGGCUCAACCUUGGAACUGCAUUUGAAACUGUUGGUCUUGAGUAUCGGAGAG